UACGGGGGGGGCAAGCGUUGUUCGGAAUUACUGGGCGUAAAGGGCUCGUAGGUGGCCAACUAAGUCAGACGUGAAAUCCCUCGGCUUAACCGGGGAACUGCAUCUGAUACUGGAUGGCUUGAGUUUGGGAGAGGGAUGCGGAAUUCCAGGUGUAGCGGUGAAAUGCGCAGAUAUCAGGAGGAACACCGAUGGCGAAGGCAGGUCUCUGGGCCACUACUGACGCUGAGAAGCGAAAGCUAGGGGAGCAAACGGG
RNAcentral lists this ribosomal RNA (253 nucleotides) under uncultured bacterium. RNAcentral's name for it is "partial 16S ribosomal RNA". It matches the Rfam family "Bacterial small subunit ribosomal RNA", at positions 524 to 776 of the family's 1533-position model. The record is from RNAcentral.